UACGUAGGGGGCUAGCGUUGUCCGGAAUCAUUGGGCGUAAAGCGCGUGUAGGCGGCCCGGUAAGUCCGCUGUGAAAGUCCAGGGCUCAACCCUGGAAUGCCGGUGGAUACUGUCGGGCUCGAGUCCGGAAGAGGCGAGUGGAAUUCCUGGUGUAGCGGUGAAAUGCGCAGAUAUCAGGAGGAACACCGAUGGCGAAGGCAGCUCGCUGGGACGGUACUGACGCUGAGACGCGAAAGCGUGGGGAGCAAACAGG
Molecule: ribosomal RNA, 253 nt
Filed under: uncultured bacterium
Lineage: Bacteria
Description: partial 16S ribosomal RNA
Rfam family: Bacterial small subunit ribosomal RNA
Source: RNAcentral